Molecule: ribosomal RNA, 253 nt
Filed under: uncultured bacterium
Lineage: Bacteria
Description: partial 16S ribosomal RNA
Rfam family: Bacterial small subunit ribosomal RNA
Source: RNAcentral
GACGUAGGAGGCGAGCGUUGUCCGGAUUCAUUGGGCGUAAAGAGCACGCAGGCGGUUUGGCAAGUCGGAUGUGAAAACCCGAAGCUCAACUUCGGGCCUGCAUCCGAAACUGCCCGACUAGAGGUAGGUAGGGGAGAUCGGAAUUCCUGGUGUAGCGGUGAAAUGCGCAGAUAUCAGGAGGAACACCGGUGGCGAAGGCGGAUCUCUGGGCCUUACCUGACGCUCAGGUGCGAAAGCGUGGGGAGCGAACAGG